This 498-nucleotide ribosomal RNA is filed under the name Triticum aestivum (bread wheat). RNAcentral describes it as "partial small subunit ribosomal RNA". Lineage: Eukaryota; Viridiplantae; Streptophyta; Magnoliopsida; Poales; Poaceae. The record is from RNAcentral.
AUGAAGAUGGCGACUUGCAUUCGUAAGGUGGCCUUGGAGGAGUUUGAAGUGUCCAGGGGGAGAAGCGAAGAUAAGGAUACCUGGUGGUGGAAUGAUGAUGUCCAGAAGGCGAUUAAAGAGAAGAAAGAUUGCUUCAGAUGCCUAUACCUGGAUAGGAGGGCAGACAACAUAGAGAAAUACAAGAUGGCGAAGAAGGCCGCAAAGCGAGCUGUCAGUGAAGCAAGGGGUCGGGCAUACGAGGACUUCUACCAACGGUUAGGCACGAAGGAAGGAAAAAGGGACAUCUAUAAGAUGACCAAGAUCCGAGAGAGGAAGACGAGGGAUAUUAGCCAAGUCAAAUGCAUCAAGGACGGAGCAGACCAACUCUUGGUGAAGGACGAGGAGAUUAAGAAUAGAUGGCGGGAGUACUUCGACAAGCUGUUCAAUGGGGAGAAUGAGAGUUCUACCAUUGAACUGGACGACUCCUUUGAUGAGACCAGCAUGCGUUUUGUGCGGUGA